Molecule: small nuclear RNA, 107 nt
Organism: Trichosurus vulpecula (common brushtail)
Lineage: Eukaryota; Metazoa; Chordata; Mammalia; Diprotodontia; Phalangeridae
Source: RefSeq, a predicted model, not a curated record
GUGCUUGCUUCGGCAGCACAUAUGCUAAAAUUGGAACGACACAGAGAAGAUUAGCAUAGCCCCUGCGCAAGGAUGACCCCCAAAUUAGUGAAGCGUUGCAUAUUUUA